UUAAAUUGAAGAGUUUGAUCAUGGCUCAGAUUGAACGCUGGCGGCAGGCCUAACACAUGCAAGUCGAGCGGUAGCACAGAGAGCUUGCUCUCGGGUGACGAGCGGC
This 106-nucleotide ribosomal RNA is filed under the name Klebsiella pneumoniae. RNAcentral's name for it is "partial 16S ribosomal RNA". It matches the Rfam family "Bacterial small subunit ribosomal RNA", at positions 1 to 99 of the family's 1533-position model. Lineage: Bacteria; Pseudomonadati; Pseudomonadota; Gammaproteobacteria; Enterobacterales; Enterobacteriaceae. The record is from RNAcentral.